NAACGCCAAAGGUUUCACAUUAAUUCUAAACAAACCGCUAAGUCUGAUAAAAUCCAAAAGGACACGAGAACCCCUAUGUGAACAGCUACACUCAGCUGCUGCUCUCACUUGGAUCUCUGCCUCAUCUUUCGGCGCUUCCUCUUCAACCUCCUCAUCCUCUUCUUCUUCCACUGCAAUCACACGGCACAAAUGAUCUCAGCUUCAUAAUUCAAGGAUCGGAAACUAAGGCAUUGUUUGGCAGAGCUCAUCUCUUAUCAGAAGCACUUUUCGGAAAAGCUAAAAAUUGAGGAUGGAGAAAUGUAAACAGCUAGGAUGUACCUGGCUCUCAUGGCGGCGAAG
RNAcentral lists this long non-coding RNA (339 nucleotides) under Malus domestica (apple). RNAcentral's name for it is "long non-coding RNA (MDOM_LNC017828)". The record is from RNAcentral. Lineage: Eukaryota; Viridiplantae; Streptophyta; Magnoliopsida; Rosales; Rosaceae.